CUCAAAUAUUUUUAAACUUUUAUGUUUAUACCUCAUUUUAUUUUGAUUCCUAUUUUACCCUUAUUAAUAAAUGGAGGCUAUUAUCCUCUAGAAAGCAAAUCGUUUUUUCUCUAACGUCGGAGGAGGAGCGCUAGCCUAGAACCUCGAGACGCUGCAACAAAGGGAAGAAGAUGACGGAUCCGCCAUCAGAGGUUUAAAAUUGGGCACUAAUUAGAUAUGUCAAUCCUCCAAAAAUUCCAGAAUAUUAUGAAUUUGGAGUUCCGUCACACGAAACAACUAGCAAAUACUUGCAGUGUGAACUGAAGAUAUACCUUGAGUUUGAGUUGUACUAAAUGUAUUAUAUCUUGUUGUUGUAAAUUUAAUUGAGAAUAUCACAGUGAAGUUGUAAUGUGGACGCUGCUGAACAGUUGGCAAUGAUGAUGAUAUGUUGGUCUAUGUAUAAACAUUGUCUUGUGAAAUCAUUCAUUUAGCAAAUUUCUCUCUUAUUUGGAAAAGAAGUUGUAAAUGGAUAUCAAAUUUAUGCAGAUAUGACUUUGGUUUUCU
Molecule: long non-coding RNA, 543 nt
Organism: Mercurialis annua (annual mercury)
Lineage: Eukaryota; Viridiplantae; Streptophyta; Magnoliopsida; Malpighiales; Euphorbiaceae
Exons: 2
Source: RefSeq, a predicted model, not a curated record